RNAcentral lists this ribosomal RNA (559 nucleotides) under uncultured marine bacterium D003. Its description in RNAcentral is "bacterial SSU rRNA". It matches the Rfam family "Bacterial small subunit ribosomal RNA", at positions 339 to 916 of the family's 1533-position model. The record is from RNAcentral.
CUACGGGAGGCAGCAGUGAGGAAUCUUAGACAAUGGGCGCAAGCCUGAUCUAGCCAUGCCGCGUGUGUGAUGAAGGCCUUAGGGUCGUAAAGCACUUUCGCCAGAGAUGAUAAUGACAGUAUCUGGUAAAGAAACCCCGGCUAACUCCGUGCCAGCAGCCGCGGUAAUACGGAGGGGGUUAGCGUUGUUCGGAAUUACUGGGCGUAAAGCGCACGUAGGCGGACUGGAAAGUUGGGGGUGAAAUCCCGGGGCUCAACCCCGGAACUGCCUCCAAAACUAUCAGUCUAGAGUUCGAGAGAGGUGAGUGGAAUUCCGAGUGUAGAGGUGAAAUUCGUAGAUAUUCGGAGGAACACCAGUGGCGAAGGCGGCUCACUGACUCGAUACUGACGCUGAGGUGCGAAAGUGUGGGGAGCAAACAGGAUUAGAUACCCUGGUAGUCCACACCGUAAACGAUGAAUGCCAGUCGUCAGCAAGCAUGCUUGUUGGUGACACACCUAACGGAUUAAGCAUUCCGCCUGGGGAGUACGGUCGCAAGAUUAAAACUCAAAGGAAUUGACGG